Molecule: small RNA, 103 nt
Filed under: Microtus ochrogaster (prairie vole)
Lineage: Eukaryota; Metazoa; Chordata; Mammalia; Rodentia; Cricetidae
Description: 7SK RNA (ENSMOCG00000011539.1)
Rfam family: 7SK RNA
About the family: 7SK was discovered as an abundant small nuclear RNA in the mid-70s but a possible function has only recently been suggested.
Source: RNAcentral
AAAUUAGGGUAUGAAGGGAAUCUGUCAUCCCAUUGAUCGCCAGGGCUGAUUCAUUCGGCUGAUGUGGCUGGUUAGGCGGGUGUCCCCUUUCUCCCUCACCGCU